AAGGAUCAAGUAAAACCUUGCAAUUAAUGUCGGUUUGAUCCGAUGGCCCAGAUUCAUAUGAAAAGACUAUAUAAGCAAGGCCCCCUGGCCCCUGGAGAUCAUACCUCUUCUACAGAAUCAAAGUUAGGGUUUCAAUUCUUCAUCCAAGUAGAGAGGAUCCCUCAAGUUCAUCUAGAUCUACCUCUAGUUCAUCUAGUUCUAUUUCUAGUUCAUCUAGUUCUAGUUCUAGUUUGUUCUAGUUGUAAUCUAGAAAAUAGGGAGAGAGAAUAGGAGAGCGGACGAGGAGCCGGAUCUGUCGGAUCUUCCUCAACAUUAUACUUUUGCCGCAACUGGUUCGUUCUUCAUCAUUCUCCAAGUUCUUCAAUUCAUAAUUCCUGAGUUCUUUAAUUACUUUUAUUUACAUUCAAGUUAUUUAUUGGAUUCUUGCUUGCAUCGAGUGCUCUAGUCUUUAUAAUGCUAAAGUAGUAAUUAAUAGACUAGACGUGAUGUUUAGUCUUGCAAUUACAUGGAAUUGCACCCAAUCCUACGGAUUGUUGUGGUAGCCCUAGGGUAGUGACAGCCCUAACGGUCGACGUAUUCCACCUCGUUCGGAUCGGUGUUUGUAGGACCGUAGUCAGAGCUUCCUAGCCCCCUUCUCAUCUCUUUCUGUGGUUAGUGUUCUGAUGACCUGAAAGAUAAUCUUGAAGUAAUUCUUGAUUCUUAGAUCAUCUAGAGAACUCUCAGGAAACUUCCUCUCUUCCCACCAAAAAUAAUUAUAUAGUUAUCCUGGGCGAUCUUGGAUCUUAAUUAGUACACUCAUGUUCCCUGUGGAAAAUCGAUACUCUGGAAUACUCCCGGGUGAAGGCUACAUCGGUAUCUGUGCGCUUGCGGAUUUUUCUUUUUGCGUUUAAAAUACCCAACAGUCCUCACCGUGCCUCAACCUAACGAGGACCUGCUUCUCAAUAUAGCAGCAACUGAUCGAGUCGUCUCUACGGUGCUUGUGGUAGAGAGGGAUGAACCAGGCCACCUCUACAAAGUCCAGAGACCAGUAUACUUUAUAAGCGAAGUCCUAAACGAAUAUAAGACCAGGUAUCCCCAGAUACAAAAGUUAAUAUAUGCCAUCUUAAUCAUGUUAAGAAAGCUAAAUAACUAUUUCGAUGGCCAUUGGAUUUUAGUUACUACAAUAUUUCCGUUGGGGGACAUUUUGCGCAACAAGGACACCAACGACAGAAUUGUAAAGUGGGCCAUGGAGUUAUGCCCAUUUUCUUUGGAUUUCCAGAGUCGCACAACCGUCAAGUCCCAAGCUCUGGUCAACUUCAUCAUGGAAUGGACGGAUCUCAACACACCACCCUCUCUAGAGGUCUUCGACAACUGGUUAAUGUUCUUUGACGGGUCCUUAAACACCAAUGAAGCCAGCGCCGGAAUACUUUUUAUUUCACCAAACAAGGACAAACUACGCUACAUCCUUAGGAUCCUCUUACCAGCAUCCAACAAUGUCACCGAGUACGAAGCAUACCUGCAUGGCAUCCGAUUGGCCGUUGAACUAGGAGUCAAACGCCUUUACAUCUACGGCGACUCUGCUCUGGUCAUCAACCAGUUAAAUAAGGAGUGAGACACGACUCAUGAGAGGAUGGACCUGUACUACAACGAAAUCCGGAGGUGGGAAUCAAAUUAUUACGGCAUAGAAUACAUACACGUGGUCCGAGACAAGAACCAAGCAGCAGAUGCGCUGUCAAAGAUAGGAUCAUCCCAGGCCCAGAUUCUGCAAGGUGUUUUUGUUCACGACAUUCACACACCAAGCGUCGAAAUGGACCUGGUCGACAAGCCACCCAACGAGACGCUGCUCGUAGGAAACACCGCUCUGACAACUGAUGGCAACGACUGGCGCGCUCCUUUCGUUAAGUACCUCUUGGACGAUUCGGGAUUUCAAGAGAAAACAGAGAACGAACGUCUUAUCCGACAAGCCAAAAACUAUAUACUGGCCAACGGUAAACUUAUGCGCAAGAAUGCAAGCUCGGAAGUCUUGUUGAAAUGCAUAACUCAAGACGAUGGCAUCAAGCUGCUAGACGACAUACACGCUGGGUCCUGUGGCAAUCACGUUGCUUCUAGAACGUUGGUUGAAAAGGCUUUCUGAGUAGGUUUUUACUGGCGAACCGCAGUCGCUGAUGCCGAGAAGCUGGUCCGGCAUUGCGAAGGGUGCCAGUUCUUCGCCAAGAGGAUCCACCUACCUGCUCAGAAGAUCCAGACCAUUCCGUCGUCUUGGCCGUUUGCCUGUUGGGGCCUCGACAUGAUUAGGCCAUUGAAACCAGCUCCCGACAAUUUCAAAUUUGUUUUCAUGCUAACUGACAAGUUCUCCAAGUGGAUCGAGUACAUGCCACUAGUCAAAGCAACUUCUGAGAAGGCUGUAGAAUUCCUCAAUCAAAUCAUACACAGAUUUGGGAUUCCCAAUAGCAUAAUCACCGGACGAUUCCCAAUAGCAUAAUCACCGGACGGGCACUUAGUUCAUCGGCACUACAUUCUAGGACUUCUGUGAUGACAAAGGCAUAGUCAUAAAAUACUUGUCGAUGGCCCAUCCUUGGGCCAACGGUCAAGUUGAGCGAGCCAACGGAAUGAUUAUCAAUGCAUUGAAAAGAGGCUGUACACGGAAAAUGACAGGGCGCCGGGACGGUGGAUGAAAGAAUUACCAGCAGUGGUCUGGGGUCUCCGAACACAGCCUAGUCGGAACACAGGUGCAUCCCCCUAUUUUAUGGUUUAUGGGGCUGAGGCAGUGCUCCCCUCCGACGUAGCCUUUGGAUCCCCAAGAGUCGAGCAUUUCAACCAGUCUUCAGCAGAACUCACUAGAGAACUCAAAAUCAACUGCACUGAAGAGAGACGUUUGGUUUCUUGCCUUUGAACAACAAAGUAUCUCGAGGCCAUAAGACGAUACCACAACAAGAACAUCAAAGACCGCUCCUUCAUGGUCGGUGAUCUGGUACUCAAAUGGAAAACAAGCCAGGAUGGAAUGCAGAAGUUAUCUACACCCUGGGAGGGACCUUUUGUGGUUGUCGAAGUUACACGCCCUACAUCUUAUAGACUGGCGUACCCAGAUGGAACAAGCCUGCCCAACUCCUGGCACAUAGACAAAUUACGAUGUUUCUAUCCCUAAGUUUCAGUAUAUCUUACAUAUACCUCUCUUUUAAUGAAUAAUAAUAAUGUUUUCUUCUUUGCUAUAUACUUUUACAUAUGCAGAAUACUCGACAAGCACGACAAUAACUUUCCUUGACAAGCUACUCAAGGGCACUCAACAUGAUUCAGUGAUACUUCACUCAAGCAAAUUUAUUUACAGCGCUCAAAACCAUGGUUCUCAAAAUUUGGACUUUAUUACAAACUUUAUAUACAAAGUUUACAAUAAACACCCUCUGGGCGGCUUCUAGUCUAUUCCUACAAACUACUCUAUGAACCUACUACUCGGGCUGAUCACCCUCGUGACUCUCUCGUCCCGCUAAAGGGGUCGGGGCCACUGGCGCGUGGCUGGUCGAGACCAUAGGUGUCAACCGCCCAUCUCCCGCAAUUAACGCCCCCGACAACUCCCUUGCCGACCUGUCUGAUCCUGGCUGCUCGGUGGGGGGGUGGAUGUCCCGCAAAGGUUUAUAUCGCCGAUCACAGUCGACGACAGGUUGAGCAGGCUGACGCGAAGGUCAUCCGCCUCCUUCGGACCGACCUCCUUGGGGUACCCCCUUUCCAGCCCGGACAGGUCGACCAGGGGCUGAUCAGAUCUAGCACUGGAGCAACUCCUUUCCAGAGCUUUCUGCAAUUCGUCUUCCAGCAGUCCCGAUCUUUGACCAGGUCCUCAACGUGCUUCUUGGCGUUGGCUUGAGCACUAUGACUAAUUCCAAGGAAAAAGAAAGCAAACAGUCAGCAACAUGCUAUGGCAAUAUAAAAAACUUCAUGGUCGAAAAGGAAAAAACAGAUCCUACCAGCCAGCUCCCAGCUCCUAGUCUUCAGCUCCUCACCAACCUUGCGCUCGCUUUCCAGCGCAUAGGCACGCUCCUGGUCGAGCUGAUCUCUCUCCUUUCGGAGACGCUCGAUCUCCUCCUCCAGACGUGAAAUAAUAAUUGUUUGUCAUCAAAACCGACAACAUAGUUAAUUGCAACUAUUCGGAAAUUUGACUUACCCUUCCUUUCACGGUCCUUAUCGGCUAGUCACCGAGUUAGGUCCAGCAAACGCUCUUCCUGAGCCACCUUCUCGGCCGCCUCCCUUUCGGCCUCUAGCCGAAGGCAGUCCACCUCCGCGGUCAGGGCCUUGUUCUCGGCGACCACGCCAUCAAUUUGGCCGAAGCACCUUUUCCGGUACUUCACCGUUUCCAUUGCAUCCUACGGAAAUCAAACAUACCACACAGUGAACAAACCAUGGUAUAUAUACAUAUACUCCAGCAGAGCAUAAGAACACUCACCUUAACUUCAUUGACGAGCCGCUUGGUAGCGCGCUCCACCCUCUCCGCCUCCUCGAUCUCAGCGAUCUCCUCGUGGCCGGCCCAAUGAUCCCCGCGCUGGCGCCAUACAUAAACGUGUUGCCGACCAUCAUGGGGACGCCCCUGGAUUUCCUCCAAUUUGUGAUCGAAGGCCGCCUGGGCCUCCUCGCCCUCUGUGCUACCCCCAACCACGGUAACGGGUAUCAUAGGACCCUUACCCCGGCUAGGGGAGCCCUCCAGUGUGGAAGAUUCUGUUGGGGCUAGAGUUGGGGCCUUCUCUUCAGCCGGAGAAGGGGACGGGACCUUGUCUUCCUCCUCCACAGCGCUACUCGGGGGAGGUGUCCCUGCGGUCUCAUUACCCCUUGUCGGGGUGCUUGCCCUCGCCUUGUCUUGGACCGAGUUUUCCUCGGCGACCUCUGCCGCAGCCACAACGGUGGGCUGCUCCACGGGCUGCUCGCGGACAGUCUGCUCUAUGGCAUCCUAAUCGGUAGCUGCUGGCUCGGUUGUCCUCGAGCCCGCAACAUUGCCAGGAUCAACAUCCGAGGUAGCACUACAAAGACGAAUCAAUUCAAAUUACCAUACCGACAUCAAACUUCAUAAAAAAGAGAGAGCGAAGAGACACUUUUCUUGAUGAACUCACAGAUUGGAGCUUCGGUGCGCCGCCGUGAAGAACCUUCUCCUAGCUCUCCCGGCCGUUGCAGCUGUCUCGACCGCCCCCGGUCGCGCCAGCUCGAUGUGCGUGGCAGGCAGAUCUCAGGCAACCCGACCUCCAUCGCUUGGGGUGACAUCUGGGCGGCUGCGGGGUCUGCGGACCAAUGUUGGGGCCGCUUCUUCUCCCUCCUCAUCGUCGUCAACAAUUCUGAUAAGCCGACACCACUUGGGCACUCGGGUGUCCGAGGUGGACCCCUGGCCCAUUAUGGGACCUGUAGCUGCUGGAUUCGAAUCGAAUUCCUAUCCAGCUGGAGGGGUAUUCCUAGCACUCAACCGAGCAUCCCCCGUCGGAGAGCCAACGGGUCACCUUUGGUACGACUCAGGAAUCGCGGCUCCAAUCAGCGCCGCACUCCUAGGGCUACCAUUCUGCCAGGGAGGUCAGGAAUUUUAUCUCACCUGCCUUUGGGCUUACGCCAAUGGUCCCCCACACACCGCACUUCCUCCGGUAGUGCGCACUUUAUACUUGCCGGUCUUUCGGCCUGAGUCAUAUUACUAGGCUUCGCGGUCGGAACGAGUUAUCCGGCCAACUAAGUGUUAGGCAUGCGUUUAAUAUGACAAGAGGACGUACAACGGUCGGUCCUUAGCUGCCACAGACGGAGUCACUACAACCUUGCAAAACUUCGCCUGGCUUAAGACAAAUUAAUCAGGUUCCAUUCAUGAUAGCACAUAUAGUCCAUCGUGAUUCGACAUAACCCUAUAUCGCGCAGGUGAAAGGAUAUCACCCGACUUCUACCGAUUAAAGCAUGGCUAAGCUGCUACUCGAUCCUAACUCUAUAACCAGGUAGUGGUAAGAUAUCUGGACAAGGAUUGAGUAAAAUGCAGCAAAGGUUUCAUCACAACUCCUAUACUUAAAUGCAUCAAUAGAUAUAACGUAUUCAAGUAAACUUUCGAAAGUAAAGGGAGACUUAGUAUGCUCCGGGGCUUGCCUUUUACAAACGAGGCUGGCUCGUGGUUCGGGAACUCAACCUCUUCUUCGGGCUCCUCGAGUCCGGCUUGCUGGACCUCCACCUCCAGGUUGCCCUCCUGGCCUUCGUGGUUCACUUGAAGCUCGUAGGAGGCGGUCGUGUCCGAUGCACCUAUUGCAUGCUCGAUGAAUAAGAAGGUGUGCAUACUAAAGAAUGAAUGCUUGAUAACAUAAUUGACUCACUGGACACUCAUUUACGGAGUAAUGGUUAUAACAAGUCCACACAAGAUGAUAAGUUAAAUUAGCCAAAACCUACCAAGUUACUAUAACAGCAAGCAUCGCAUAACCGAAUUAACUCAGUAAACAGGUCAUAACUAAUGCUAGACAGAUCCAACAAACAUGAGUGAGGACAUUCUGGAAAGCUUAUAAAAUUGUCUACAAAUAAUCUUUAAACAUCACAGCAAGAAUCAUAAGUUAAACAAGCCUUAUAAACAAAGUUCCAAGUUCUGUCCCAGAAAAACAGAAAGCACCUAUUUCUGGAAUCCAACUUGGAACAGCCCUAACUUUCAAACUACUGGACCAAAUGAUCCCAAAUUUAAACCACAGCUAGUUCAUCAUGUUUACCACAACUUUGAUUUAGACAAGUCCUCCAGAAAACCAGGUUAUCAUUAAGUAAGGAUGGAAUUACUACCUUGCUGUCCAGAACAGCUUUUAACCUUUCAAUUAAUUAUUUGAUGACAUAACCAAAACAUAAACAAUGUCAACCACCUCGCUUAUCAGCACAAACACAUCAUAAGACACCCAGCACAUCACAUGAUAACCCCUAAAUACUUAUUAAUAAGACAUUUAUUAAUUUAAUUCCAUAAAGGAGCAUAAUUACAAGAUACUAGUAAAAGUGCCACCAAGGUAGAGCACCAGCAUAAGCAUCAAUUGUUUAUUAUGAUUUUAAUAAGAAAACAAGCCAUAGAAAUAACAUAAAUUACUUAUCACAGAUAUAUCACUCCAAAAAUCAUGAAAUAAUUAUCAUAGCAUUCUAAUACCACACAGAGACUACCAUAAACAUUUCAUAGCAAAAGGAGUAGUAUAACACAAGAUAUGAAUUUACUCAUGAAUAACAAGAUUAAAUUCUAAUAAUUAUUUUUCCCAGAAAACAUGGUUCAUUUUAUAUUUUUACAAAAUAGUAGCCAUCUCAAAGAGUCUCACAAAAUUGGUUUCACAAUUUUUGGAUCCCCAGAACUAGAGAUAUGAUUUUUGCAAGAAAGCCAAAAAUCUGGAAUUUGAACAAAAGGAAGGAGGAGACCGUUGAGUCACUGACAACGGGUCCCACACGUCAGCGACCUAGGGAACAGAGGACAUGUUGACGGUCCUUAAAGCUCACAUUUAACCGUCAACCAAUCAUGGAAAAGGAUCUAAAUGGAACCAACACCUAAACUUAGGGUUUUAUCUGACAGAAUUCCACGAGUUUUGGUGUUUGUCUAUUUCUGCAGGGGGUUAUCAGGAAAUACGGAAGAAAGGCCCACACGUCGGGUUUACAUAGAGAUAUUAACGUGCCGCACAAUUUUCUAUCAUCUAGAAGACUCCAGAAGCCACGGGACCGAACGGGAAGGCAAUCGGGCUCGGAGGCAGGGCGCCCGCCCUACUCUCCUGGGCGCCCGCCCAGCUACAGUGCCCAAUCAAGACUCUCUUUCGGGACAAUGCUCCAUCGACCUAAAGGAUCAAGAAAAACCAUGCGAUUAAUGUCGGUUUGAUGCAACGGCCCAUAUUCACUUGAAGGGACUAUAAAACCAGAACCCCUGGCCCCUGGAGAUCAUACCUCUUCUACAGAAUCAAAGAUAGGGUUUCAAUUCUUCAUCCAAGUAGAGAGGAUCCCUCUAGUUCUUCUAGUUCUACCUCUAGUUCAUCUAGAUCUAGUUCUAGUUCAUCUAGUUCUAGUUCUAGUUGUUCUAGUUCUAGUUCUAGUUAGUUCUAGUUGUAAUCUAGAAAAUAGGGAGCG
This 8037-nucleotide long non-coding RNA is filed under the name Sorghum bicolor (sorghum). RNAcentral's name for it is "long non-coding RNA (SBIC_LNC008331)". The record is from RNAcentral. Lineage: Eukaryota; Viridiplantae; Streptophyta; Magnoliopsida; Poales; Poaceae.